Molecule: ribosomal RNA, 500 nt
Filed under: uncultured bacterium
Lineage: Bacteria
Description: partial 16S ribosomal RNA
Rfam family: Bacterial small subunit ribosomal RNA
Source: RNAcentral
AUUGAACGCUGGCGGCAGGCCUAACACAUGCAAGUCGAGCGGAUGACGGGAGCUUGCUCCUUGAUUCAGCGGCGGACGGGUGAGUAAUGCCUAGGAAUCUGCCUGGUAGUGGGGGACAACGUUUCGAAAGGAACGCUAAUACCGCAUACGUCCUACGGGAGAAAGCAGGGGACCUUCGGGCCUUGCGCUAUCAGAUGAGCCUAGGUCGGAUUAGCUAGUUGGCGGGGUAAUGGCCCACCAAGGCGACGAUCCGUAACUGGUCUGAGAGGAUGAUCGGUCACACUGGAACUGAGAAACGGUCCAGACUCCUACGGGAGGAAGCAGUGGGGAAUAUUGGACAAUGGGCGAAAGCCUGAUCCAGCCAUGCCGCGUGUGUGAAGAAGGUCUUCGGAUUGUAAAGCACUUUAAGUUGGGAGGAAGGGCAGUAAGUUAAUACCUUGCUGUUUUGACGUUACCGACAGAAUAAGCACCGGCUAACUCUGUGCCAGCAGCCGCGGUAA